RNAcentral lists this ribosomal RNA (468 nucleotides) under uncultured bacterium. RNAcentral's name for it is "partial 16S ribosomal RNA". It matches the Rfam family "Bacterial small subunit ribosomal RNA", at positions 28 to 507 of the family's 1533-position model. The record is from RNAcentral.
GACGAACGCUGGCGGCGUGCUUAACACAUGCAAGUCGAACGGAAAGGCCCUGCUUUUGUGGGGUGCUCGAGUGGCGAACGGGUGAGUAACACGUGAGUAACCUGCCCUUGACUUUGGGGUAACUCUGGGAAACGGGGGCUAUACCCGGAAGGAGAUACUGACGCCCGGGGGGGGGUGGAAAAGUUCGGGCGGUUGGGGAUGGACUGAGGGAUUAUCGGCUGGUUGGUGGGGUGGUGGCUUACCAGGGUUUUGACGGGUAGCCGGCCUGGGAGGGUGACCGGCCACAUUGGGCCUGAGAUACGGACCAGACGCCAACGGGAGGCAGCAGUGGGGAGUAUUGCACAAUGGGCGGAAGCCUGAUGCAGCAGCGCCGCGUGCGGGAUGACGGCCUUCGGGUUGUAAACCGCUUUCGCCUGUGACGAAGCGUGAGUGACGGUAAUGGGUAAAGAAGCACCGGCUAACUACGUG